Molecule: long non-coding RNA, 1358 nt
Filed under: Anas platyrhynchos platyrhynchos (common mallard)
Lineage: Eukaryota; Metazoa; Chordata; Aves; Anseriformes; Anatidae
Description: lncRNA (ENSAPLG00000022353.1)
Source: RNAcentral
GGGUUGAGGGUCAGGGAUGGGGUGGGUCCGGUACCACCCCUUUCCCUCCCCCUUUAUUUGCCUUCCCCCCCUUUCUCCCCCCGCCCAGGGCCAGCAACCACGGCAUCAGCCUGGACGAGAUCCCGGCCGAGCGGCGCCGCAAGCUGGAGAAGGCGCGGCCGGGGCAGGUGCUGAAAUAGCCCCCAGGGGGAGGGGCCAGGCAGCCCCCCCGGCCCCGGGGCAUCAUGGGACAUCGCCAAGGGCGCACAGCAUGCUGGGACAGCGGCCAUCUUGGAAGCGGUGCAGCACGGGAUGGGCCGAGCCCGCGGCGCGCUGGGAUUGGUCCUCCCAGCCCGGAGGGGAGGGGCCAGCGUGCUGAUUGGCUGCCCUGCCCCCCGGGGCCAGUGACGUCACUGGAAGCCCCUCCCCCGCUCUUAAAGGGGAAGGCAGAGGCGGGCGGGGGAUUUUUGUCUGGGGACACAAAAUGCCCCUAAAGGGGCGGGGCUUCCUAAAGGGGGCGUGGCCUCCUGAUCUGGGCGUGGCCUCUUAAAGGGACAGCGCCGCCCACCCCCAUUUUGUGUCCCCCCCCCCCCCCCCCCCCCCCCCCCCCCCCCCAAAGGGCUGGAAUAUUUCUCUGUAGACCAAAAAUGUGAAGUAAAGGGGUGGGGGCAGCUCGGGCCCUGCCUCCCAGGAUAUUUGUCUGUAGACAAAAAAAAACCAAAAAGUUCUCGACUGAUAAAGGGGCAACCCCAGGGUGGCGGCUGGGCUGGAGGGGGAGGGCGGCCUUGGGGCUGGGGGGGCUUAAAGGGGAGGGGGGCGCGGAACUGGUCCGUACGAGGUUGGCCAUCUUGGAUUUGGCCUUGGGGGGGUUUGAAAAGGGGAGGGGAGACACAGACCUGGUCCGUACCAAGUUGGCCAUCUUGGAUUUGGCCUUGAGGGCGUCUUAAAUAGGAAGAAGGACACGAACGAAGCCCGUGCCAAAUCAGCCAUUUUGGUUUUGUAUUUAGGGGGGUGUCUUAAAGGGGAGGGGAGACCCAGACUGUGUCCGUAACAAGCUGCCCACUUCAGUUUUCUACUUGGGAGUGUCUUAAAGGGGAGGAGGAACACGACUGUAGUCCAUACAAAGUCGGCCAUAUUGGUUUUGUACAUGGGAGGUGUCUUAAAGAGGUGGGGGGACACAGACGCAGUCCACACAAAGUUGGCCAUCUUGGAUUUGGACUUGGGGGGGUUUGAAAAGGGGAGGGGAGACGCAGACCUGGUCCAUACCAAGUUGGCCAUAUUGGAUUUGGCCUUGGGGGUGUCUUAAAAGGGAGGAAGGAGUUGGACCAGGUCCAUAGCAAGCCGGCCAUCUUAGUUUUUUACUUGGGGUUGUGUUACAG